UUAAUUAGGGAUUAUAUGGCGUUUACUAUUGAAUUUGUCGGAUAUGAUUCAUAUGAUAUCAAAAAAAUUUCGUACUGACAUGUAUUCUGAAACUUGGAGUCGUAAAUUGCGGUUAUCUUAGUGGUUUAUUAAUUAAAAGAAAAGUGGAAUACGUGGAUAAGGUAUAUAUAUGAAUUUCGGUUCUGCAGGAUAUGCUGAGAUGUUGCUGCAAUCUAUAUCGAAGAUCAAUCUACAGGGUGAGGAGGUCGAUUAUAUAGGAUAUGCUGAGAUGUUGCUGCAAUCUAUAUCGAAGAUCAAUCUACAGGGUGAGGAGGUGGAUUAUAUAGGUUGAUAGAUUUUCCAACAGUUCGGGAAAAGAGCUUCGUUUGAUAAUUCAGUAAAUGUCUCACCCUUUGAUCAAUGUAAUGAAUUUUGCUGCUAAGGAAUACUCAUGUUGAGGUAAUCUUCAUCGCAGACAGAAUAUGUUGGCUGAAAAUGGCAUUUUCCCAAGAAUCUCAUCUAUAUUUAAUAUUUGGUCAGGUUCUUAGUUGUUAAUUCGUUACAACUAAGAGGAAAUGUUAAAGAUAUUAUUGCAUAGGGGAAAAAUGUUUCAAAUGUUUCUGUUC
Long non-coding RNA from Vicia villosa (hairy vetch), 605 nucleotides. RefSeq lists it as uncharacterized. The transcript has 3 exons. Lineage: Eukaryota; Viridiplantae; Streptophyta; Magnoliopsida; Fabales; Fabaceae. The record is from RefSeq and is a predicted model, not a curated record.